Podarcis muralis (Common wall lizard) is the source of this 270-nucleotide long non-coding RNA. RefSeq lists it as uncharacterized. NCBI's taxonomy places the organism in Eukaryota, Metazoa, Chordata, Lepidosauria, Squamata, Lacertidae. The record is from RefSeq and is a predicted model, not a curated record.
CUGCUCCUGACAUGUCCGCUCUGGGGUUGGGGGUGGAGGGAUCAUUAAGAACAGCUGCGUGAACGAGAUCAAGCAGAAGAACACCUGGCAGCUGGCAAGAAAGGGAGAAGGCCGCCACCGAACGGACAAUAUCCGCAAGAAGCAGCUGUCUGUAGCCAGCCGGGGACGCCACAACGAAACCUAAUCCACAAUCUCAGAGGCAGCGGGGGCAUAUUCGAUCUGGUUCGCCUCGAUCAGGAGAAACGAAAUUUGUGCUGGAAAAAGUUUUAA